This 89-nucleotide transfer RNA is filed under the name Ascochyta rabiei. Its description in RNAcentral is "tRNA-Gly". It matches the Rfam family "tRNA". From Rfam's summary of the family: Transfer RNA (tRNA) molecules are approximately 80 nucleotides in length. Their secondary structure includes four short double-helical elements and three loops (D, anti-codon, and T loops). The record is from RNAcentral. Lineage: Eukaryota; Fungi; Ascomycota; Dothideomycetes; Pleosporales; Didymellaceae.
GCAUCGAUAGUUUAGGGGUAGAAUUGAAGCUUCCCAUCUUGCCAUAGACGGACUUUCUUUAGGCAUGGGUUCGAUUCCCGUUCGAUGCA